Molecule: long non-coding RNA, 2716 nt
Organism: Gorilla gorilla gorilla (western lowland gorilla)
Lineage: Eukaryota; Metazoa; Chordata; Mammalia; Primates; Hominidae
Exons: 2
Source: RefSeq, a predicted model, not a curated record
CUGGCGCCAGGGACGCUGCCAGCACGCAGGCCCCGACGGAAGCCGAGACUGCGCUUCGUGCGAGGCCCGGGCAGCAUCGGCGGCGUGGUCAGAGCGAGUCUCGGAGAAGAUGUGGUGGCUUCCGUUUGUUGGUGGAGGAGGUGGCAGGCCUCGGCGCUUGGAAGCUGUCACUCCUGUCCUCACAACAACAACAAAAAACACCUUGAACAAACUGAAAAUUACAACUUUUCUUAGAUCCAUCAGAGACUUGAGGUUAACGGGGCAAACCGUUAUCCCCCAAAUUGGAGAGGCAGUGAGUCCUAGCCUAACAGGAUCGGAGGCUGGCCACUGGAGCCAGAACCACGGUGGGAAGACUUACAUGUAAACAACAAAUCGCUGGAGGCUCCAUGCGCAUAAACUUGAGAAUUAAGAAUUAAGGGAGCCCAGUCUUAGGGGGCCCUACACUUUCAUGAACCUCCAAGAGCUCUGCCAGACGCUGUUAUGCACAUCACAGAAAAAUUCCCUCCUGCUUCCCACAGGGAAGGGGAAAAGUAACUACUUUGAAAUACGCCCUGGGUGUUCCGUUCUCCUUAGCAAAAGCCUGCCCCAGGGAAACUAUUUCACAAGAGUCUAACCACCUUGGGCUUUAGCAGGGCCUAACACAUGUUAGAAUAAGAAUAAAAGUUGCAUCAAACUUUUCUUCAGAACCCAUGCAAGCAAGCAAGAAAAUUCCACCAACCUAAAAUUCUGUAUCCUGCAAAAUUAUCUUUCCAAAGUGAAGAAAAAUAAAGACUUUCUCAGACAAACACAAAUUUGCUGUCAGUAGAUCUGUCAAAAUAUUAAAAGAAGUUAUCCAGAGAGAAGAAAAUGAUAUAGGCUAAAAACUUGGAUCUACAUAAAGAAAAAAGGUUUUAGAGAAGGAAGAAAGGGGCUUCCUGCCUCCCUCCUCCAUGGGGCACUGGUGCUAUGCCCAGCACCCAGAUGCCCCUACCCAAUGCUGAAUAAGAACACAGAGCACCGUGAAUGGCUGGCUCUAAAAGGAAAAGUGGAAGACUUGUGUUCUCAACCCACAGCUGCUACUGCUACAUUUAAAGACACUGCAGUGAACAUUGUAAGUUCUCUGGCUCAUGGAGGGAGGAAUCUAUUCCAAAGACUCUGAGAAAAACUGUAAAUUAAACACAAAUAUGGUGAAAGCUGGUUCCAGAGCUUUAUUGAUGUUAAUAAUGCACCUUAUUGACCAGGCACAGUGGCACAUGACUGUGAUCCCAGCACUUUGGGAGGCCAAGGUGGGAGGAUCACAAGGUCAGAAGAUCGAGUCCAGACUGGCCAACAUGGUGAAACCCUGUCUCUUCUAAAAAUACAAAAAUUAGCUGGGUGUGGUGGCACGUGCCUGUAAUCCCAGCGACUCAGGAAGCUGAGGCAGGAGAAUCGCUUGAACCCACUGGUGGAGGUUGCUGUGAGCUGAGAUGGCACCACUCCACUACAGCCUGGUGACAGAGGAAGACUACCUCUCAAAAAACAAACAAACAAAAAACAAAAACAAAAAAACAAAAAACUGGUCACCUUUUCACCAUACACAAAAAUUAACUCAGGUUGGAUUAAAGAUUUAAAUUUAAGACCUCAAACAACAAUAAUCCGAGAAGAAAAACUUCAAAAGUACCAUUCUGGAUAUGGGCUAUGGGAAAUAAUUCAUGACUAAGUCUUCAAAAGAAAUUGCAACAAAAGCAAAAGUUGACAAAUGGGACCUAAUUAAACUAAAGAGCUGCCACACAGCAAAGGAAAACAUCAGCAGAGUAAACAACCUACAGAAUGGGGGAAAUUAUUCACAAACUAUGCAUCCAACAAAGGUCUAAUAUUUAGAAUCCAUAAGGAACAUAAUUCAACAAGCAAAACACAACCCCAUUAAAAAGGGGCAAAAGACAUAGACACUUCUCAGAAGGAGACAUACAUGCAGCCAACAAACAUGAAAAAAAGUUCAUCAUCACUAAUCAUGAGAGAAAUGCAAAUCAAAACCACAAUGAGAUAUUAUCUCACACCAGUCAGAAUGACUAUUUUUGAAAAGUCAAAAAAAAAAAAAUAGCAGAUACUGGCAAGGAUAAGGAGAAAAGGGAAUGCUUAUACACCUUUGGUGGGAAUGUAAGUUAGUUCAGCCACUGUGGAAAGCAAUUCGGAGAUUUCUCAAAGAACAUAAAACAGAACUAACAUUCAACUCAGCAGUCUCAUUACCGAAUAUGUAUCCAAAAGAAAACAAAUCAUUCCACCAAAAAGACAUAUGCACUGGUUUGUUUAUUGCAACACUAUUCACGUUAGCAAAGACAUGGGAUCAACCUAGGUGCCCAUCAACAGUGGACUGGAUAAAAAUGUGGUACAUAUAGACCAUUGAAUACUAUGCAGCUACAAAAAAGAAUAAAAUUACGUUCUUUGAGGGAAAAUGGAUAGAGCUGGAAUCCAGGAAGUGAACUAAUGUAGUAACAGAAAACAAACGCCUCAUGUUCCUAUAAGUAGGAGCUAAAUUCUGAGUACCCAUGGACAUGAAGAUGGUGACAAUAGACACUAGGGACUGCUAGGAGGGGGAGGGAGGAAGGAAAGGUUGAAAAACUGCUGAGUACCAUGUUCAGUACCUGGAUGUUGGGAUCAUUCAUACCCCAAACCUCAGAACCACACAAUAUACCCAGGUAAUAAACCUCCACAUGUACACCCUGAAUCUAACAUAAAAGUUGAAAAAGAAAAAACAGAA